AACAACAGAAGGACUACAAACGGAGGUACAACUAUGUAGCCCAAAAGAUUCAUUGGAAUUUAUGUCACAAGUACCUCCCAAUAACAACAACAACAGAAGGACUACAAACGGAGGUACAUGAGGUACAAAGGAUGAGGAAGAACGGAUCUGAUUUUAUGUUUGAAAUGUAUAUUUUUAAUUCAUAAUGUAUUUUAAUAGUUUUAACUGUUUUAUGUGCUGUUUUAUAUUGGUUUGUAUGGGCAUCUAAUUGUAGCCACUGUUGUAAGCCGCCCUGAAUCCCGUUGGGUGAGAAGGGCGGGAUAUAAAUGUGAGAAAUAAAUAAACAAUACAACUAUGUGGCCCAAAAGAUUCAUUGGCAUUUAUGUCACAAGUACCUCCCAAUAACAACAACAGAAGGACUACAAACAGAGGUACAUCUGUGUGGCCCAAAAGAUUCAUUAGAAUUUAUGUCACAAGUACCUCCCAAUAACAACAACAGAAGGACUACAAACGGAAGUACAACUAUGUGGCCCAAAAGAUUCAUUGGAAUUUAUGUCACAAGUACCUCCCAAUAACAACAACAGAAGGACUACAAACGGAGGUACAACUAUGUAGCCCAAAAGAUUCAUUGGAAUUUAUGUCACAAGUACCUCCCAAUAACAACAACAACAGAAGGACUACAAACGGAGGUACAUGAGGUACAAAGGAUGAGGAAGAACGGAUCUGAUUUUAUGUUUGAAAUGUAUAUUUUUAAUUCAUAAUGUAUUUUAAUAGUUUUAACUGUUUUAUGUGCUGUUUUAUAUUGGUUUGUAUGGGCAUCUAAUUGUAGCCACUGUUGUAAGCCGCCCUGAAUCCCUUUGGGUGAGAAGGGCGGGAUAUAAAUGUGAGAAAUAAAUAAACAAUACAACUAUGUGGCCCAAAAGAUUCAUUGGAAUUUAUGUCACAAGUACUUCCCAAUAACAACAACAGAAGGAUUACAAAAGGAGGUUCAACUAUGUGGCCCAAAAGAUUCAUUGGAAUUUAUGUCACAAGUACUUCCCAAUAUCAACAACAGAAGGACUACAAACGGAGGUACAUCUGUGUGGCCCAAAAGAUUCAUUAGAAUUUGUCACAAGUACUUCCCAAUAACAACAACAGAAGGACUACAAACGGAAGUACAACUAUGUGGCCCAAAAGAUUCAUUGGAAUUUAUGUCACAAGUACCUCCCAAUAACAGCAACAGAAGGACUACAAACGGAAGUACAACUAUGUGGCCCAAAAGAUUCAUUGGCAUUUAUGUCACAAGUACCUCCCAAUAACAACAACAGAAGGACUACAAACAGAGGUACAUCUGUGUGGCCCAAAAGAUUCAUUAGAAUUUAUGUCACAAGUACCUCCCAAUAACAACAACAGAAGGACUACAAACGGAAGUACAACUAUGUGGCCCAAAAGAUUCAUUGGAAUUUAUGUCACAAGUACCUCCCAAUAACAGCAACAGAAGGACUACAAACGGAAGUACAACUAUGUGGCCCAAAAGAUUCAUUGGCAUUUAUGUCACAAGUACCUCCCAAUAACAACAACAGAAGGACUACAAACAGAGGUACAUCUGUGUGGCCCAAAAGAUUCAUUAGAAUUUAUGUCACAAGUACCUCCCAAUAACAACAACAGAAGGACUACAAACAGAGGUACAUCUGUGUGGCCCAAAAGAUUCAUUAGAAUUUAUGUCACAAGUACCUCCCAAUAACAACAACAGAAGGACUACAAACGGAAGUACAACUAUGUGGCCCAAAAGAUUCAUUGGAAUUUAUGUCACAAGUACCUCCCAAUAACAGCAACAGAAGGACUACAAACGGAAGUACAACUAUGUGGCCCAAAAGAUUCAUUGGCAUUUAUGUCACAAGUACCUCCCAAUAACAACAACAGAAGGACUACAAACGGAAGUACAACUAUGUGGCCCAAAAGAUUCAUUGGCAUUUAUGUCACAAGUACCUCCCAAUAACAACAACAGAAGGACUACAAACGGAAGUACAACUAUGUGGCCCAAAAGAUUCAUUGGCAUUUAUGUCACAAGUACCUCCCAAUAACAACAACAGAAGGACUACAAACGGAAGUACAUCUGUGUGGCCCAAAAGAUUCAUUGGCAUUUAUGUCACAAGUACCUCCCAAUAACAACAACAGAAGGACUACAAACGGAAGUACAACUAUGUGGCCCAAAAGAUUCAUUGGAAUUUAUGUCACAAGUACCUCCCAAUAACAGCAACAGAAGGACUACAAACGGAAGUACAACUAUGUGGCCCAAAAGAUUCAUUGGCAUUUAUGUCACAAGUACCUCCCAAUAACAACAACAGAAGGACUACAAACGGAAGUACAACUAUGUGGCCCAAAAGAUUCAUUGGAAUUUAUGUCACAAGUACCUCCCAAUAACAACAACAGAAGGACUACAAACGGAAGUACAACUAUGUGGCCCAAAAGAUUCAUUGGCAUUUAUGUCACAAGUACCUCCCAAUAACAACAACAGAAGGACUACAAACAGAGGUACAUCUGUGUGGCCCAAAAGAUUCAUUAGAAUUUAUGUCACAAGUACCUCCCAAUAACAACAACAGAAGGACUACAAACGGAAGUACAACUAUGUGGCCCAAAAGAUUCAUUGGAAUUUAUGUCACAAGUACCUCCCAAUAACAGCAACAGAAGGACUACAAACGGAAGUACAACUAUGUGGCCCAAAAGAUUCAUUGGCAUUUAUGUCACAAGUACCUCCCAAUAACAACAACAGAAGGACUACAAACGGAAGUACAACUAUGUGGCCCAAAAGAUUCAUUGGAAUUUAUGUCACAAGUACCUCCCAAUAACAACAACAGAAGGACUACAAACGGAAGUACAACUAUGUGGCCCAAAAGAUUCAUUGGCAUUUAUGUCACAAGUACCUCCCAAUAACAACAACAGAAGGACUACAAACAGAGGUACAUCUGUGUGGCCCAAAAGAUUCAUUAGAAUUUAUGUCACAAGUACCAUCUGCCAGUAGUAAAGAACCGGUGGGAUCACAAUCCUGCAAAGGUAGUGGAAAAUGAGCACGCAAAAAUACUGUGGGACUUUUGAAUCCAGGCUGACAAAGUUUUGGAACACAACACACCAGGCCUCAUGGUUGUGAAAAAGAAAAAAGUUUGGAUUAUUGAUGUCACCAUACCAGGUGACAGUCGGAUUGACAAAAAACAACGGGAAAAACGCAGCCGUUAUCAGGACCUCAAAAUCAAACAGGCUCUGUCAUAAACCAGUGCAGGUGGUCCCAGUGGUAAUCGGCGCACUGGGUGCCGUGCCAAAAGAUCUCAGCUGGCAUUUGGAAACAAUAAACAUUGACAAAAUUACGAUCUGUCAACUGCAAAAGGCCACCUUACUGGGAUCUGCACGCAUCAUCCAAAAAUACACCAUAGAGUCCGAAACACUUGGGAAGUGUUCGACUUGUGAUUUUGUGAUACAAAAUCCAUCAUAUUUAUUUCGUUUGCUGUGUCAUACUGUCUUUGUGUCAAUAAUAAUAACAAUAGUAACAACUUAUUCUUAUAUCCCGCCCCAUCUCCCCGAAGGGACUCAGGGCAGCUCACAUGGGGACCAAGCCCAGAAUACAACAUCAAAUACAAAAUGCAUUUAAAACAUAUAAACAUAUAAAAUCAAAAGACAUAUAAAAUACAAUAAAAACAUACCUCCCAAGUCUCUCAAUGUUUGUUGAUAUAUAAUACUCACACACACACAAACACCCGAGUGUAUAUAUGCAUGCUAACCCAGGCAUGGGCAAACUUCAGCCCUCCGGGUAUUUUGGACUUCAAUUCCCACAUUUCCUAGCAGUCUACAGGCUGUUAGGAAUUAUGGAAGUUGAAGUCCAAAACACCUGGAGGGCCGGAGUUUGCCCCUGCCUGUGCUAACCUGUAUUUUAUGUGUGUGUUGAUUUGCCAGUUUGACUUACCUCUUUGGUGUGGGAGGAGCUAUAGACGUGAUUGUAUUGAGCAUGUUCAGACUCAGGACUCCAUUUUGUAUUCAGUAUGCCUUUAGUCUUCAGUGAAAGCAGGUGUAUGUGUCCAGACCUCAGUGGAGGUGGAUGAAUGUUGCUGUUUAGACUUCAAUGUAGAAAUAUGCUUAUGGACUUCAAUUGUUGUCAGAUUGAUCCCAAAGAGUGUGAAGGCCUGAGGAAACAUCAUUAGCACCCCUGAGCAUAUACUGGCAGGAUACGUCUGAAAUCUAAUUUGCUCAAUGGCAAAAACACCGGCACUGAAAUCAUAGGAAAAAGAGAGGAGUCUAUAAUGUCAUAUCACCAUUUGUAUUGAUUCUUCAGAACCCUUCUAUCAUCUGAAUCAAAUCUAUAACACAUUUCAGUUUUUGGUGUGUAACUUAACCAUCGGGUUCAUGGAAAUCCCUCAUUGCAGUUUAUUGCAGUAAAAAUGGUUCUUGUUAUUGGAUGUUGCUGACUUAUGGUGACCCUAUCAAAGACAAGAUUCUACCCACUGUCAUCUUCUGUCCCAUUGAGAUAAAUGAGUGCAAACGAAAGCAAUUGAAGGAAACUGAUGACAAAGAUGGAAAGCCGAAAGAAGAAACUAGGACAUUAGAAAGCAGCUGGGAAAGUGCGUGACAAAAAUUAUGCCUUGCAAAUUGGAGGAUAUGUUGAUGAGAAAAGACAUCCAAUGACCCCGGCAACACCGCAAGGUUUGGUGGAUGCAGUGUUAAGAUAUGGGUUGAAUGCAGCAGGAUAUGAAGAAUGUAUCUCAAACCCUGCUGCCAUUGCACAAUAAUUUAAUCUUAGACCAGGUUUAUUGUGAAAACAAGACACUAUAGAGUUGGAAAAGGUGCAGAAAAAGGCAAACAACAUACUUGUUGUUCAUAUUACAGCAUGUUUUUCAUAACCGAUCUUGUAUCUUUGGCUCCAAAAAUGAAGCAAAUUGCGAAUCACAUGCCACAACAUCCCAUGGACUCUGCUGUAGUGUGUAUCAUCUACCAUUACAAACAGAGUCUGCUGGAACAGAGAUGAGCAAAGCAGAACCUGGGUCUUGAAGCAAUUGGGAAAAAACAAGGUGGAGGCAAAACAAGGAAAAGAGACGCAAACAGCAUUAGCAGCAGGGCUGGAUGAACCAUCAAGCAAAAUAAACAUGUGUUUUGGGCAUCAAGGGAAGGAGGGAGCCAUGAAAAUUUCCAUUGCUGGAUUCAUCCUGGAAAAUAUGGUGAAAAACUGCAAAUGAUGCAGCUGAAUCAGGUUCCACAAAAGUGCUACCACAAUAAAAGACCUUGCAAUUACAAAAACUAGGAGAAUACUUUUUGAACAUACUGUAUAAAGUGGAAGUAUGCAAACAUAAAUAUUAUUUUCCAUCUUAUCGUAAUUUUUACUUCAUUCUUUUCUUUUACAGUUUACAAUUGUUUAUAAUUGAAAAUAGAUAUAAUAUAGGAAAGUAUUUAGUGCAUCUAAAGUUGUUAAUCCAACCCUGAUUAGCAGCUACAGUAAUGUGCAGAAAAAUGGAAGCAAAGCGGCGGGGGGGGGGGGGGGAUACCUUGGGACAUUGCAGAGAAUGUCGGAAUGGAAACUGAAACAUGAAGAGGAAACAGUGGCAGAGGGAGGUGUGGAGCCAGAGGUGGGUUAGGACUGAAAUCAGGGAACGAGUGAUUUGGGGAAAUUUGACAAAAUGGACAAGAUUAUGCCCUCCAAAAAAGAAUAGGUAACACAUCCCUGGCUGUAAAAGGAAAUUGGAUUAUCAUAGAAAAAAUGGAAUAAAUGGAGUAAUUUGAUUCAUAGAGAUAAUUACAAUGAGUUUGUGAUGCAAUCUAAGUGUACUGCUCCACGUAGAAUGCAAGUUUUUCCAUAAAUUGCCCUGAAGACAGUACAUGUUGGCAGGUUGUUGAAAUGUGUGAUUAAUACUCACCUCAGGCAAAAGUUCAGCAACUUCAAACUGGAUUGUGAAUUUGUUGUUUGUUAAUGAGACAUGUCACAUUUGUGAAUGGAAGAAAUGCAUGUGCUUGCACAAAAUGAGACUUCCAGAUGUUAGCCAUGCGCUUGGUGUCCUGGGUCAAAUUAAUCCUUUCAUCUGGUUUAGCACUUUUUCCUUAUCCCUGUUUUACAUGUCAUAAUUGUUUUCCUACCUGUGAGCAAUAUUAACACAUUCAAUAGUUAGAUGGAAAAAAUCACACAUGAUCUUGAAUCUCAUCUUCGAGAAACUCAGGAUAUAAAUCCAAUAAACAAACAAAAAAGAUGUGAAUGGGUGCAGCUGCUAAUAUUCUUGCUAACUGGACAUUUUUUAAAAAAUGUUGUACUCUUGCCCUGAGAUUCCUCCCUUCAGCUCUUUUGAGAGUUUUGAGGAAAUCUUUUCAAGGCAGUGUUUUGCUGUAUCCAUAAACAUGGAAGAGAAAGGCCAGGGUCCGUAACUCUGCUCCAGAUAUAUGGUAUCUGGGAAUCUUAGGAUUUGUUCACUCUUCACAUAUUGUAGAGGGACUACACUCUGAACAAAUAUUAUUGAGGGAGUUACUUCAGUAAGUCAUGAUAUUAAAACUUCAGUCUCUGAAGGAGAUAUUUGUGAAGAUGGUUAAAUCAUUAGUUUUCAUAGUCUGAGUCAAUCCAGACAACAACAGACCUCAGACUGCUGGGGUGGGGUUUAUAGAGAGAAGAAUAUAAAACUAGAGACACAUUUGUCAAACAGUUAAUAUAAAGCCAGUUAGAAAUAGAGAUACAUAAAAAGUAAUGAAAUCUUCAUAGGGAACAGUCCGAGAUAGGGCCAGUCAGAAACAGAGAGCUGACAAGGACCAGAUAGAAAAUUAAUUUGAUAGAAUGUAAGAGUGUGGAAAGAAUCCAGUGAAAGUGUUAAAUAUUUUGUAUUGCUUAUGAAUCCAUAAUAAUUGUUUAAGUUGCUAUAUAAUAAGCCUUUAAUGUGUCCUUUUUUACAUUACUUUCUGGAUAUCUUUUUAUAUAGGAUUUAUAAGAACAUUACUAAGCUGAGAUACUAAAUCCAGAGAGUGAUCUUAAGAGUCAAAGGGUAUGUUGGCUAGUAGGAGCCCAAGGGUUGGUAGUACUAGAAGCCCAACCUCCAGUGGGGAUCUUUCACAACAUUCUUCAGUCAGAAUGCAAUAGAUAUUUUAGUUCAUUUGAGUAAACCUUUUAAGCAAAAGUCUGAAGUUAAUUUCUCCUUUUAUUUUGAUGAUUUUUGGCAUUUCCUCGAUUUGUGGUAAGCAAUGACUCAUCAUCUGCCACAAACAGAAGCUGCCAAUUUCAUGCACCACACCCAUCCCAAAGAAAUGUGAUGGAAGAUGUUGAGUAAUGGUAGGCAAAACUAGCUACUUUGGCUUGUGGUGAAUGAGUCAUGCGGCUCAGUCUUGCUGGGUUCAGACAGUGGCUUGUUAGACCUAGGUCAAAUAAUAAAAUAGGAGCACUUCUUAGUGGUCAGAUUUGUGAAGAAGGCAAAGGCAAAUUCCCUUUGAGACUAUACAUGAAAGGUUUCUAUGGCCAGGGACUGAUCCCAUUCAUUGUCAGUGUCAGGUAAAAAAUGUAGUUAGCCAGUUACUAUAACUCAGUAUCCUGUUCAGGCCUGUAGCGAGGGGGGUGGUGGUUUAGGGGUUCAACCCCCCCCCCCCCGAAAUUUUUCAGGUUAUAAAAAAAAACCUGAAUUUUAACUGGUUAACCAAAUCCCCAUGCUAAGUCUAUGAGACACAAAACAUUAAGAGUCCCUCCAGGCACUAUUUCAAGCAGAUAUUGACAGGUUUGUAGCGGGGAGGGGUGUGUGCUAGGGGUUAACCCCCCCCCCUGAAAUUUUCAAAACCCCUCCCGAAUUUUUUUUCUGGCUACGGCCCUGAUCCUGUUGUUUUAAUGAUGCCACUUUUAGUUUGGAAUUUUUGCAAUUAUUACUGUUUUGCUUGGUUGCCGAUACAGACCUUUAUCUAGAAUUGUUUAAAAAAAAAUUUUUUUAGUUGUAUGCCAUCUGGAGUCCAGUUAAAAAUAAAAAGGCCACAAUAACACCAGUCCAAUUUCAUCAUAGAACCAUUUUGGUAGUUUAUAUUGCCUUAUAUUCCAAGUAUAGGAAACCCAUUUCAUCAAUGUAAAACUUGCCAGUGGGGGGUUGGCGAAUUGGCUUGUGAAGAGUGUGAAUGCCUCAAUGGUUCAGGGACACUUUCCAUCUAACCUUAAACAGGGAAUAUUAAGACCUAUCCUUAAAAAGGCAUCCCUGGAUCCAAUGGCAUUGAACAAUUAUCGGCCGAUUUCCAACCUCCCUGUUCUGGGCAAGGUUCUAGAGCGGGUGGUUGUCUCUCAGCUCCAGGGGUUCCUGAUGGAGACUGAUUGUCUGGAUCCAGCACAAUCUGGUUUCAGGCCUGUAUUGGACUGGAUGAGGACUAACACACUGAAACUUAAUCCAGACAAGACAGAUAUCCUCCUGGUCAGUCGUGCGGCCAAUCAGGGUAUUGGGUGGCAAACUGUGCUUGAUGGGGUUACACUCCCCCGGAAGUCACAGGUCCGCAGUCUGGGGGUCCUCCUGGACUCAGCACUGAUACUUGAAACUCAGGUGUUGGUGGUGGGAAAGACUUUUCACAGUUAAAGCUUGUGCGCCAACUGCAACCAUACCUCGAGAAGUCUGACUUGGCCAUGGUGGUCCAUGCCUUAGUUACCUCCAGAUUGGAUUACUACAAUGCAAUCUACAUGGGGCUGCCCUUGAAGACGGCUCGGAAACUUCAACUUGUACAGGCGGCCAGGUUGUUAACGGGAACGAAUUAUAGAGAACGGACAACCCUCCUAUUAAAACAACUCUAUUGGCUGCUGAUAAGUUUCUGGUCCCGAUUCAAGGUGCUGGUUAUCACCUACAAAACCCUAAAUGGUUCGGAUCCGGCUUAUCUUUGUAAUCGCAUUUCCUACUACAAGCCUGCACGGUCUCUAAGAUCUGUUGGGAAGGCCCUCUUCUCACUUCUGCUGCCAUCUCAAACAUGGUUGGUGGGAAUGAGGGAAAGGGCCUUCUCGGCAGUGGCUCCCAGUUCUGGAACUCCCUCCUGAGAGAAAUUAGACUAGCCCCCACCCUGGCCACAUUCCGUAAACAUCUGAAAACCUGGCUAUUUGAAUGCGUGUUUGAUUAAAUUGGCAUAAAUUGACGACUGUCCCUUACCUCCACCUAGACCUAGUUACUGCACUUCUUCUGGUCCAUUCAGUAGAGGCUAUAAGAUACUGUACACAGACAACAUUUGCCUUGCCCCCAGUGGAAUAUGUUCACUGCGCCUGACUAUUAGUUAUUGGCUUUGAGUAUGUUUUAAUGUAUUAUAUGUUUUAUGAUUUUAUGUUUAUAUGUUUUAAAUGUAUUUAAGUGAUUGUGUUUUACUGUGUAUUGCUGGGCUUGGUCACCAUGUGAGCCGUCCCAAGUCCCUUUGGGGAGAUGGGGCGGGAUAUAAGAAUAAAGUUGUUGUUGUUGUU
Molecule: long non-coding RNA, 9367 nt
Organism: Anolis carolinensis (green anole)
Lineage: Eukaryota; Metazoa; Chordata; Lepidosauria; Squamata; Anolidae
Exons: 2
Source: RefSeq, a predicted model, not a curated record